AAUCUGCCUGGCAGCAGAGACGGAAAGCAUUUAGCAGGAGCUGGAAGAGGAUCACAGACGGGUUUAUGCCAGCACAGAAUUUAGAAGACCAUGAAGAGAGGUGAAAAACUAGGACUGGAAGGAAGAAAAAUCUUCAUGGAACCCCAAAAAGUCCCUGGUACCACCUUCCCUCCUCAUCUCUAGUGUGUGGCUGAUUGAUAAUUGUCAUUAUCUAUGAGAUAUUGCUGGAGCUCUUCCAUCAGAAGACAUGAAGAGUUCUUCCAUCAGAGGAUGUGCCCACGCCUUGUGAGCUUUCCUUCCUCACAGUGAACUCUGAGAGUUGGAGAAGCUCAUGGUUUACAGGAGACUUUGGCAAGGGCUGAUGUUAAAAAUGGAGAAGAAACACAGGACAAUCAGCACUGAGGGGCUGGAGAACUCUCUGGAAUAACUUGGGAUAUUUGCAUCCCUGGGGCCUGUUGUGCGUCAAAGAAUGGAAAGUAUAUUGGGAAAAAGUUAA
Pipra filicauda (Wire-tailed manakin) is the source of this 496-nucleotide long non-coding RNA. RefSeq lists it as uncharacterized. The transcript is spliced from 2 exons. Lineage: Eukaryota; Metazoa; Chordata; Aves; Passeriformes; Pipridae. The record is from RefSeq and is a predicted model, not a curated record.